This 301-nucleotide ribosomal RNA is filed under the name uncultured bacterium. Its description in RNAcentral is "partial 16S ribosomal RNA". It matches the Rfam family "Bacterial small subunit ribosomal RNA", at positions 509 to 807 of the family's 1533-position model. The record is from RNAcentral.
CAGCCGCCGCGGGAAUACGAAGGGUGCAAGCGUUGCUCGGAAUUACUGGGCGUAAAGCGUGCGUAGGUGGUGGUUUAAGUCCGUUGUGAAAGCCCUGGGCUCAACCUGGGAAUUGCAGUGGAUACUGGGUCACUAGAGUGUGGUAGAGGAUAGUGGAAUUUCCGGUGUAGCAGUGAAAUGCGUAGAGAUCGGAAGGAACAUCUGUGGCGAAGGCGACUAUCUGGGCCAACACUGACACUGAGGCACGAAAGCGUGGGGAGCAAACAGGAUUAGAUACCCCAGUAGUCCCUGUCUCUUAUAC